This 497-nucleotide ribosomal RNA is filed under the name uncultured bacterium. Its description in RNAcentral is "partial 16S ribosomal RNA". It matches the Rfam family "Bacterial small subunit ribosomal RNA", at positions 28 to 507 of the family's 1533-position model. The record is from RNAcentral.
GAUGAACGCUGGCGGCGUGCCUAAUACAUGCAAGUCGAGCGAACAGACGAGGAGCUUGCUCCUCUGACGUUAGCGGCGGACGGGUGAGUAACACGUGGAUAACCUACCUAUAAGACUGGGAUAACUUCGGGAAACCGGAGCUAAUACCGGAUAGUAUAUUGAACCGCAUGGUUCAAUAGUGAAAGACGGUUUUGCUGUCACUUAUAGAUGGAUCCGCGCCGCAUUAGCUAGUUGGUAAGGUAACGGCUUACCAAGGCAACGAUGCGUAGCCGACCUGAGAGGGUGAUCGGCCACACUGGAACUGAGACACGGUCGCGACUCCUACGGGAGGAAGCAGUAGGGAAUCUUCCGCAAGGGGCGAAAGCCUGACGGAGCAACGCCGCGUGAGUGAUGAAGGUCUUCGGAUCGUAAAACUCUGUUAUUAGGGAAGAACAAAUGUGUAAGUACCUAUGCACGUCUUGACGGUACCUAAUCAGAAAGCCACGGCUAACUACGUG